Long non-coding RNA from Lytechinus pictus (painted urchin), 2601 nucleotides. RefSeq lists it as uncharacterized. NCBI's taxonomy places the organism in Eukaryota, Metazoa, Echinodermata, Echinoidea, Temnopleuroida, Toxopneustidae. The record is from RefSeq and is a predicted model, not a curated record. The transcript is spliced from 4 exons.
AUAUUAUCGGAUAUGCCAUUUUGAUUUUGUAUGAAGAACUGACGUUCGAGGGAAUGAAUGACGCUUAUAUUGUUUCAAGCUUGCAAUGAAUCACCAUCAAAGAAAUUGAAUAAAAUGAUGUAAUGAACUUGCCUCACAAUAAAACUUCAAACGGCUUUUCUGGUGUCGGGGUGUCUUAUAUCACUCCUUGGUUAUAUCCGAGUCUUCGAUCCAUCAGUAGCAAAAGUCAAGUUCUAUUGAACAUUCGUGAUGGAAAUUCUUACCAACUACAGGAACAGCACUUGUCGGAGGCAUGGUCUCAGCGACCAAGAGAAGGAAGACAGUAAGAGAGAGAAGAACCGUUAUACCAAGACUGAUCUUUUCACCCGAUUCCGGAGGCAAGAAGAAGCUGAGUAGCGCCACCAUCGACACGAAUGUGCAAGGUGAUUCAACAUAGGAAAGACGCCAAAAUUGGCUGCGGCACCGGUGGCUUGUUUGUGAAGGGGACUCGAGUCAUGGAAUUAAAGGAACAAAUUACUGAGGGGAGUGAGGUGAGAAGAAAUAGGUGAACACCUAUCAAGGACAAAAAAAACCCCGGACCAUGCCACCUUUUUCUUCACACUCUAUCAUUACCCCUAUGUAUAAAGUGAGCUUGCAUGUCUUUUUUAUUGCCAUCGAUGUUUCCACGUGUUCCGGACUUGUUUGUGACUAUAUCUAAAAUGAAUUUCUUUCGAAUUGUUAAUUUGUGUAAGAAUGGUCGAUAAUUAAGAUAUACGACUUGAUUUAUCCAAUCUAAUUAAGGCCAUGACCUUCAAUGCCCUGUUGAUUGGCCUUGAUUUCCCCUCUCAUAGGCCAUUAGGCCUUAGAUGUGCCCUUUUUGUUUUCCACAUCUGCGUUGUAACAUAGAAUGUGCCCCACUUAAAAUGUGGCCUUGUCCUAAAAAAUCGUAACUUAAGACCUGAAGAAGAUCUGAAACUAAACUGACAGCUUAUCAUUGUCCCGCCCGUGAUAAAACGUGGAUCGAAUAAAAUUGAAUGGAUUUCUUUUCCAAAAUGUAUCUAAUUAGCUACCAAAAGAAUAUUAGAAUAAACAGAACUGAACAUGGUUCCAUUACCAUACAUAAUAUGAUACGAUGGUUUCAUAUAUAUGUACGAUUAUACACGUCUCUUAAAUUAUUGUCAGAAUUUGCAAAAAAGUAGUGUUAAUUUUUUUUUUUAAGGAGAUUAAUAUAAAGAAUAGCAAAUGAUCAAUGUUAACACGCAGGUCCUUAACACAUUGGGAGGAAAUUGUCAUUUAAUGAACAUUUAAAAUAAAUGUGCAAAUGAAGUAUACUGAAUGAAAAGAUGAAAUGAAAGUAUAGCAGUGGUUAUGAAUAAGUAUGUGUUGUGAUCGUACUAAUACAUCGACUCUGGCAAGGCUAACAACAGUGCAGUUAAACCAAUCUGUAACAACAUGAUCAUGUAGCAUUCUUUUGAUUUCGGCUCUAGUAUAAUUAAUAUUACGCAUCGAAUAAUGCAACGUAUAAAGUAAGGAAAAUAAUAUUUUCCAGCCCAAAAAUGUGUUUCCAGUAUAUUGACCAUCAAAAAUGUAUUAAUCCCAUUUUUAGUACAACGAAGGCAACAUUACACAGGGGAUUUAGAAUGAAAAAGGAUCAAAUAAUAACGAAUAGUUUGCCAAAUUAAUUUUAAAGUGGCGCAUGGAUAUAUAUGCCUCUGACUGAUGAAGUAAACCGAAGGUGUGGUGCGACAAAAGAACUUGUGCUUUUAGUAUGGAGGGUAUUUUAGUUAGCGAAAUGUAAAAGAUAAUGAAAUAUGUAACGUUUUGGGGUUGGUAUUUCAACUUAUUUUGUUAAUAUUAAUUGCCAUUUCAAGGUUAAUUAUUAUCACAGAACAAUUUUGUAUGCCCCGUUUAAUUAUUCGUCGAAGUAGUAUUCCAUUUUGGGGGCUAAGUUUUAGCUUAAUAGGCUACAAGAGGCAUUGCACAUUCGAUGUGUGAUCAGUAAAGUUAUAUAAUUGCUCUCUACCAGGUCCCCGACCAUGGGCGGAAAUCCCAGGGGGGACAGGGGGUACGCGUCCCCCCUACCAGAAAUAGUAGGGGGGCAUAAUAUCAAAUUACCUUACUUUUUGGGUGAUAACCAUUUUUUUUCUUUUUUUUGCUUGUCAAAUUUACUUUUGUCGAAAUUACCUUACAUUUGGGGUGAUAACCUUUUUUUUUAUUUUUUUAUUUUUUUUUGCUUGUCGAAUUUUUCAGCCCCUGGUCCCCCUACCUUUAGGGAGAGAUUUCCGCCCUUGCCCCCGACUUGCAAAGAGUUGCGAUUGAUCCGAUCAACCACAACUAUGAAACGUCAACAUCUAAACUGCAUGCUUGCUCAAAAUAUUUUCCAGAUAUAAUGUAUAUUUAUACAUUCAUUGUUUUCUUGAAAUUUUCAGUGUGCUUUUACUAAUAAAGGGUAUUGUGCAAUUUUUGUGUCGUAGAAAUUAUUUAAUUGUUGGGUUUCCACAUAACUGAGGUUGAUCGGAUCAAUCGCAACUCUUUGUAAGACGGGCCCUAGAUUACAGUUUUGUACAGAUAAACGCUUUGAUAUACAAAUCACGAUAAAAACAUGUAAAUGAGCAGUCCUAA